CUCCAGCAAGGAGCUCGCACCUCAACGUGGUGCUGGAGUCUAGUAGCCAUAUGGCGAAGCCAAGACGAGC
This 70-nucleotide non-coding RNA is filed under the name Aspergillus fischeri NRRL 181. The record is from RNAcentral. RNAcentral also lists the same sequence under 1 other name. Lineage: Eukaryota; Fungi; Ascomycota; Eurotiomycetes; Eurotiales; Aspergillaceae.